Molecule: ribosomal RNA, 610 nt
Filed under: uncultured bacterium
Lineage: Bacteria
Description: bacterial SSU rRNA
Rfam family: Bacterial small subunit ribosomal RNA
Source: RNAcentral
CCAGACUCCUACGGGAGGCAGCAGUAGGGAAUCUUCGGCAAUGGACGGAAGUCUGACCGAGCAACGCCGCGUGAGUGAAGAAGGUUUUCGGAUCGUAAAGCUCUGUUGUAAGAGAAGAACGAGUGUGAGAGUGGAAAGUUCACACUGUGACGGUAUCUUACCAGAAAGGGACGGCUAACUACGUGCCAGCAGCCGCGGUAAUACGUAGGUCCCGAGCGUUGUCCGGAUUUAUUGGGCGUAAAGCGAGCGCAGGCGGUUAGAUAAGUCUGAAGUUAAAGGCUGUGGCUUAACCAUAGUACGCUUUGGAAACUGUUUAACUUGAGUGCAAGAGGGGAGAGUGGAAUUCCAUGUGUAGCGGUGAAAUGCGUAGAUAUAUGGAGGAACACCGGUGGCGAAAGCGGCUCUCUGGCUUGUAACUGACGCUGAGGCUCGAAAGCGUGGGGAGCAAACAGGAUUAGAUACCCUGGUAGUCCACGCCGUAAACGAUGAGUGCUAGGUGUUAGACCCUUUCCGGGGUUUAGUGCCGCAGCUAACGCAUUAAGCACUCCGCCUGGGGAGUACGACCGCAAGGUUGAAACUCAAAGGAAUUGACGGGGGCCCGCACAAGAAU